CGGGGGCACUGCAGCCUCCCCGUCAAAUGGAGCUCUCUCCAUGCAAGCGCUGC
Molecule: non-coding RNA, 53 nt
Filed under: unclassified sequences
Description: chromate-resist RNA
Rfam family: chrB-b RNA
Source: RNAcentral